Molecule: long non-coding RNA, 606 nt
Filed under: Oryza brachyantha (malo sina)
Lineage: Eukaryota; Viridiplantae; Streptophyta; Magnoliopsida; Poales; Poaceae
Description: long non-coding RNA (OBRA_LNC002771)
Source: RNAcentral
CUAUUAUGUGGAAACAUAUUACAACGAUGAUAAUAUAUGACACACAAAUAGGGAGAUACUAAAUCACGCAUUGGAGCUAAUACUAUUAUUUAACAUAGGUUUUGAAAAUUACCUAAAAUCAAAUUGUUGAUCCUUAUAUAGAUUCUACAGCGAUUCUACCCUCCAAUCCAUAUCCCGAUACGAGAACGAUACUACCCGAAAGCGAUACUGUCAUUUCAUUUAGGUAGUAUCAUUGUAUCAACACAUAUCCCGAUGCUGACACCUUAAAUGUGUUGGCAGCGGAGGAGGUUCGGAGCAGCGGAGGAUGCGGCGGGGAGGACCGGAUCUGGCCUUGGGACGACCUCCGAAGGGCCGGAUCCAUCUCCGGUAAACAGGUACUUCUCCAGCGACCCGUUUGGCACGUACUCAUACACUGAUGGAAAUCAAAGCAACUCACGCGAUCGCAGUGGACACAACUCUCACUUACACGUGAAAAACACAAGGAAGAAGACCAACGCAACACAGAGUAUUUGCGGCACCGCACUGAACUUAGUGCCCUUUUCUGGUUUAUCUUCUCAAUUAACAAACUGAUUACAAUAUGCACCUAUUUAUAAUACAAACUAAUGA